RNAcentral lists this unclassified non-coding RNA (252 nucleotides) under uncultured Bacteroidales bacterium. RNAcentral describes it as "contains 16S-23S intergenic spacer region". It matches the Rfam family "Bacterial small subunit ribosomal RNA", at positions 524 to 776 of the family's 1533-position model. The record is from RNAcentral. Lineage: Bacteria; Pseudomonadati; Bacteroidota; Bacteroidia; Bacteroidales.
UACGGAGGAUGCGAGCGUUAUCCGGAUUUAUUGGGUUUAAAGGGUGCGUAGGCGGUUUGUCAAGUCAGCGGUAAAAAUUCCGGGCUCAACCCGGUCCCGCCGUUGAAACUGGCGAACUCGAGAGGGAGAGAAGUAGGCGGAAUGCGCAGUGUAGCGGUGAAAUGCAUAGAUAUUGCGCUGAACUCCGAUUGCGAAGGCAGCCUACCGGCUCCUGUCUGACGCUGAGGCACGAAAGCGUGGGUAUCGAACAGG